RNAcentral lists this long non-coding RNA (204 nucleotides) under Elaeis guineensis (African oil palm). Its description in RNAcentral is "long non-coding RNA (EGUI_LNC038041)". The record is from RNAcentral. Lineage: Eukaryota; Viridiplantae; Streptophyta; Magnoliopsida; Arecales; Arecaceae.
CACAACAAAAUCCAGUGACUCCGAUGGCCGGCGAGCGUGCACACUGGCAUGGGAAGGAAAGGGGAGAAGAGAGGAAGGAGGAGGAGGCUCACCUUCGAUGUCGGUGAGGCUUUUCGAUGAGAAAUUGGACGGACACAGGUCAGGUCUCCACGAUGAUUUUCCGACGAUUGCCGCCGACUGGGCUUAGGAUCUUUGGUGAGAGGG